This is a long non-coding RNA of Homo sapiens (human), 1459 nucleotides long. Ensembl annotates it as long intergenic non-protein coding RNA 293. The record is from Ensembl. Lineage: Eukaryota; Metazoa; Chordata; Mammalia; Primates; Hominidae.
GGGCGUCCGCGAUGGUGGUAUUGCUCCAUAUGCCUGAGACCCUAACAAAAGCCUAAUUACAACUCAUAUGCCUGGAGCCAGGACAUGUGCAGGAUGACUCUGCCAAGAGAGGGGAUUAUUACAUAUUGCAGAGCCCAGCACCUAGGUGGAGUGACUCUCAUCUUUUUCUUCUACCCCGUAUAUAGCCAGCUUGGUGACCUACUAUUUGAGUCUAUACCCAGGCCCAGACCACAGAUGAAAUUGUGCAAUAUGUGGAACAAACACCUAAACAAUAUAUAACACCUUCCUUGGCUCUGUCUACAAAGGGCACUUUUAUAUAUCACUGGGACCAUCAACCAGGGUCCUGCGUACUAGGUGGAUUGUGACAUCUCACUGGACCCGCAACCAUGUAGGUCAUGUGACUUUCAUGCCUUCUCACUGGCCACAGGUGAUGUUGUGCCAUAUAACUGAGACCGUAUCAAAAGCCUAAUAACAAGACGUAUGUCUGGAGCCCCGAUAUGCACAGGAUGGUGAUAUAACCCUCUUCUCUGGAAUGGGCCCCACACAAAGGAAGGAUAGUGACAUAUUGCAAGCCCAGGCACACAGGCCCAGAGCACAGUUGAAAUUGUGACAUAUGUACACCAAGCAACCAAGCAAUGUAUAACACCUCAUUUGGCAAUGGAAUCGAGGGCACUUUUACAUAUCACUGAGACCAGCGCCCAGCUGAUGUGAAAUAUUGGCCUGAACCCUGCCUACAAAAGCAUUGUGGCUUUUAUCUAGCUCCAUUACAUAAGUGAUGUGACUUCCUUCUACUGCCUUGGCCCUGCACUUAUGGUGAAUCGUGACACAAAAUUGGGUAGAGCAACCAGCCUGGGCCCUGACCAGCACAGAGAUUGAGGCAUAUUGCUGAACCCAGGACCAAGAUGAAGUCACUCUCCUGCCUUGAUCCUGCACACAGGGACCCUUGUGACAUAUAUACAGGCCAAUUGCCUAGGUGAUGUUGUGCAAUAUACCUGAGACCAGAUCAAUGGCCUAAUAAUGACUCUUUUACCUAGAGCCAGGACAUGUGCAGGAUGUGUCCUCAGAAGGGAUCAUAACAUAUCUCUGGACCCAUCAUCUAGGUUAUGUGACUCUCUUCUCCUGCCUGAACCCUGCUUCCAGUGAAGAGUGUUGCAUUUCUAAGCACUGCAUCCAAAUGACAUGAGUUUCUUGCCUGGGCCGUUUCAACAGAAGGCAUUGUGACAUAUCUCUAGGUCUAUCAUUUAGGUGAUAUGACUCUCCUCUCCUGCCUGGACACUCUCCACAAGGGGCAUUAUGCCAUAGAGCUAGAGCUAGCAACCAAGUUUUGUGAAUUUUCUGUUAGGGCCUUGCCUACAAAGAGAAUUUUGGAAUAUUUCUGGCUUAGAAUUUAAGUAAUGUGGUUGUUCUGCCUGUUCAGUAACCACAGAGGAGAAGGUGAAAUAUAUCUAGGCACCGCAAA